Molecule: ribosomal RNA, 774 nt
Filed under: uncultured Neocallimastigales
Lineage: Eukaryota; Fungi; Neocallimastigomycota; Neocallimastigomycetes; Neocallimastigales
Description: partial large subunit ribosomal RNA
Rfam family: Eukaryotic large subunit ribosomal RNA
Source: RNAcentral
GAGACUCUGUGCGCGUGCAUAUCAAUAAGCGGAGGAAAAGAAACUAACUAGGAUUCCCUCAGUAACGGCGAGUGAAGCGGGAAGAGCUCAAAUUUGAAAUCUUCAAGGUUUCCCUUGACGAAUUGUAGUUUAAAGAAGUGUUUUCUGUUGGAGUUUCGGUAAAAGUUCUUUGGAAUAGGACAUCAUAGAGGGUGAGAAUCCCGUAUUUGUACAUAUCUCCUAACUUUGUGAUACACUUUCAACGAGUCGGAUUGUUUGGGAAUGCAGUCCAAAAUGGGUGGUAAAUUUCAUCUAAAGCUAAAUAUUGGCGAGAGACCGAUAGCGAACAAGUACCGUGAGGGAAAGAUGAAAAGAACUUUGAAAAGAGAGUUAAACAGUACGUGAAAUUGUCAAAAGGGAAGCGUUUGACACCAGUGUUGUUUUCUCGAAAAUCAAUUAGAAAUGGUGGGAUUCUGUGUUGUAUUGACUUUAUCAGCUUUCUGCACUCUUUUCCUAUCUUUUUUAAUGCACUUUUCGUUUAACAAGUCAACAUCAAUUUCUUUUGUUGUAAAAGAGUCAUUGGAAGGUGGCUUUCUUUUCGGAGAAAGUGUUUAUAGCCUUUGACUUCUGCAAUCGGAGAGAUUGAGGUCUGCAGCGUAGAUCCUUCGGGGUUAGAUGCAUUUGUGCUAAGUUAUAGCCUUUCAUAGACAACUUGUUGACUAUGAUCAGUCAUGUAGCUUACUCGCUUAUGUCUAUUUUACCUACGCUUAGGAUGUUGAAGAUGUAGCACAUCAU